Molecule: long non-coding RNA, 300 nt
Organism: Thunnus maccoyii (southern bluefin tuna)
Lineage: Eukaryota; Metazoa; Chordata; Actinopteri; Scombriformes; Scombridae
Exons: 2
Source: RefSeq, a predicted model, not a curated record
CGUGAUGGAAGUGGACCUGGCAUGAGGACCGGGAUGGACCUGUUGAGGCGUGGAGGCACUGGCGGUGCAGCCAGGCUGGUCUGUAGCGUGCUGGACCUGGAGAGACACACACAUGCUGGAGCCAGAGGAAGUUGGACGUGCCAACCCUCCGUUAUAAUUGUAUAUUGGUUCUGUGUUGUUUGAGAAACUGGACUGUGUGCCCUCUGGAAACACCAGGCAAGUGAGCAGAGGAAUUAAGAGUGAGAAACACAUUUAUGUUGUGAAAGUGUGUGUGUGUGGUCAAUAAAAACCUAAAGUGGA